GAUGAAGAACGCAGCGAAAUGCGAUACGUAAUGUGAAUUGCAGAAUUCAGUGAAUCAUCGAGUCUUUGAACGCACAUUGCGCCCUCUGGUAUUCCGGAGGGCAUGCCUGUCCGAGCGUCAUUGCUGCCCUCAAGCACGGCUUGUGUGUUGGGCCCCGCCCCCCGAUCCCGGGGGGCGGGCCCGAAAGGCAGCGGCGGCACCGCGUCCGGUCCUCGAGCGUAUGGGGCUUUGUCACCCGCUCUGUAGGCCCGGCCGGCGCUUGCCGAUCAACCAAACUUUUUUCCAGGUUGACCUCGGAUCAGGUAGGGAUACCCGCUGAACUUAAGCAUAUCAAUAAGCGGAGG
RNAcentral lists this unclassified non-coding RNA (344 nucleotides) under soil metagenome. Its description in RNAcentral is "partial contains 5.8S ribosomal RNA, internal transcribed spacer 2, and large subunit ribosomal RNA". The stretch from base 1 to 120 matches the Rfam family "5.8S ribosomal RNA", at positions 35 to 154 of the family's 154-position model. The record is from RNAcentral.